This 469-nucleotide long non-coding RNA is filed under the name Bos indicus x Bos taurus (hybrid cattle). RNAcentral's name for it is "lncRNA (ENSBIXG00005001253.1)". Lineage: Eukaryota; Metazoa; Chordata; Mammalia; Artiodactyla; Bovidae. The record is from RNAcentral.
AUGUCUCUGAAGCCAGUGGGUGUUCACAAGAGGAUUAUGGGAAGAGGGACAGAAGUGCCUGGAUGUACUGUUCAGAACUGGCAGGACCGGCCUCUAAAAGGAAGACUUAAAAUGAUGUUUUUGACAUCAACACUUUCCCCAAAGUUGAUAUGGAACAUUUUCUCUCCUCGAAGAACAUCUCGGUGGCAUUUUCAGAGAUGAAAUGAAGUCUUCCCUCUGAUUGGAAAAUCAGUGUUGGUUCAUACAGACAGGCACAUCCCUACAAAUGUCUUUUGUCUGCCGAUGACGCACCACUUACGUCAGUUGCCUGCCAGAUACGUGGAAAAUGACGGUUCUGUACUACAGGUUUUCAUUCCUAUUAAAUGCUAUGGCAUGUGAUCUUGAACAAACGUUUGUAGUCAAUGUUUGAUCAAAAGCCCGAUUCGAUCAAGUAAAUAAAGCAUUAGAAAAAAUAAUUUCCUUCCUUUUG